GACGAACGCUGGCGGCGUGCUUAACACAUGCAAGUCGAACGGAAAGGCCCUGCUUUUGUGGGGUGCUCGAGUGGCGAACGGGUGAGUAACACGUGAGUAACCUGCCCUUGACUUUGGGAUAACUUCAGGAAACUGGGGCUAAUACCGGGUAGGAGUUCCUGCUGCAUGGUGGGGGUUGGAAAGUUUCGGCGGUUGGGGAUGGGCUCGCGGCUUAUCAGCUUGUUGGUGGGGUAGUGGCUUACCAGGGCUUUGACGGGUAGCCGGCCUGAGAGGGUGACCGGCCACAUUGGGACUGAGAUACGGCCCAGACUCCUACGGGAGGCAGCAGUGGGGAAUAUUGCACAAUGGGCGGAAGCCUGAUGCAGCAACGCCGCGUGCGGGAUGACGGCCUUCGGGUUGUAAACCGCUUUCGCCUGUGACGAAGCGUGAGUGACGGUAAUGGGUAAAGAAGCACCGGCUAACUACGUG
RNAcentral lists this ribosomal RNA (468 nucleotides) under uncultured bacterium. RNAcentral describes it as "partial 16S ribosomal RNA". It matches the Rfam family "Bacterial small subunit ribosomal RNA", at positions 28 to 507 of the family's 1533-position model. The record is from RNAcentral.